RNAcentral lists this ribosomal RNA (497 nucleotides) under uncultured bacterium. RNAcentral describes it as "partial 16S ribosomal RNA". It matches the Rfam family "Bacterial small subunit ribosomal RNA", at positions 28 to 507 of the family's 1533-position model. The record is from RNAcentral.
GAUGAACGCUGGCGGCGUGCCUAAUACAUGCAAGUCGAGCGAACAGACGAGGAGCUUGCUCCUCUGACGUUAGCGGCGGACGGGUGAGUAACACGUGGAUAACCUACCUAUAAGACUGGGAUAACUUCGGGAAACCGGAGCUAAUACCGGAUAACAUGUUGAACCGCAUGGUUCAACAGUGAAAGACGGUCUUGCUGUCACUUAUAGAUGGAUCCGCGCCGCAUUAGCUAGUUGGUAAGGUAACGGCUUACCAAGGCAACGAUGCGUAGCCGACCUGAGAGGGUGAUCGGCCACACUGGAACUGAGACACGGUCCAGACUCCUACGGGAGGCAGCAGUAGGGAAUCUUCCGCAAUGGGCGAAAUCCUGACGGAGCAACGCCGCGUGAGUGAAGAAGGUCUUCGGAUCGUAAAACUCUGUUAUUAGGGAAGAACAAAUGUGUAAGUAACUAUGCGCGUCUUGACGGUACCUAAUCAGAAAGCCACGGCUAACUACGUG